The sequence is a ribosomal RNA, 429 nucleotides long. It matches the Rfam family "Eukaryotic large subunit ribosomal RNA", at positions 2421 to 2826 of the family's 3401-position model.
CUUGACUCUAGUCUGUCGCUGUGAGGAGACCCGCGAGGUGUAGCAUAAGCGGGAGAUCUCCUCGCGGUGGUCGUCCAUGAAAUACCGCUGCUCUCGGCGUUUCCUCACUCACUCGGUGAGGCGGGACGCGCGCGCCGUUCCCAGCGUUCGGCGCGCGUAUUCUCGAGCACCGCCCGCCGGCAGGCGGGCGGUCCCGAUCCGAGGACACCGUCAGGUGGGGAGUUCGGCUGGGGCGGUACUCCUGCCACAGGAUAACGCAGGUGUCCCAAGGCCAGCUCAGCGAGGACAGAAACCUCGCGUGGAGCACAAGGGCAAAUGCUGGCUUGAUACCGGUGUUCGGUGAGCACGGGUACCGCGAAAGCGCGGCCCAGCGAUCCUCUCCGCCCGGAGAUCAUCCGGCGAGAGGUGUCAGAAAAGUUACCACAGGGA